CAUCGCUUGACGGAGCGCGGGUAAUCACUCGCUGAGAUCAUUUUAAUUGUGAGAUCACACAAUUUAAAAAUGAGUACCGUUGAACCUGAUCAGGUUAAAACCUGCGUAGGAAUCAAGCCAUCUAAAAAC
RNAcentral lists this non-coding RNA (129 nucleotides) under Acinetobacter sp. RNAcentral's name for it is "TPP sequence". It matches the Rfam family "TPP riboswitch aptamer (THI element)". Rfam says of the family: Vitamin B(1) in its active form thiamin pyrophosphate (TPP) is an essential coenzyme that is synthesised by coupling of pyrimidine and thiazole moieties in bacteria. The previously detected thiamin-regulatory element, thi box was extended, resulting in a new, highly conserved RNA secondary structure, the THI element, which is widely distributed in eubacteria and also occurs in some archaea. Analysis of operon structures identified a large number of new candidate thiamin-regulated genes, mostly transporters, in various prokaryotic organisms. The record is from RNAcentral. Lineage: Bacteria; Pseudomonadati; Pseudomonadota; Gammaproteobacteria; Moraxellales; Moraxellaceae. RNAcentral also lists the same sequence under 1 other name.